CAUCUACCGAGAAAUCCUUUUCUCCCAAAUCUGCCAAAAUCUCUCCCCUCCCGAGAACCCAACUUUUCUGAUACCUUCACUCUUCUCCUGUUAAAUAUCCAACCUGACCCACUAGAACGCUCCCACUCUUUUGCUUCAAUCUGCAGGAACCCAAGGCCAGAAUCCUUUCACAUCAAGCAAAACAACAACAAAAGUACAAUCACACCAAACAAAUCUGUAAGGUCCGAAUAACCAAUAACAGUGACGCUUCACACGAGUUGAGCUUGAAUCUGCACUUUCGAGGCUCGUUUUAAUAUCGAUCGAGAUUCUCAUUUGGCCUAACACGUCAAAGGAGGAUUGUGUACACAAGGUUAGUGACUCGAUGGGUUGAUCGCCAUCGUGCACCAACAGAUUUAGAACGUUAUAAGGAUGGGUGCUUGCCAGAAGGUUAUCCGAAGCACAGUGAAGAUUUUCGGAUCUGACUGGGUGCGUCCCGAGAUCAAAUGGACGUGGGGAAGAAAGCGAGUAACAAUCGAAUGCACAUGGGCGCCCUCAACAAGAAAAUAUUUUGUCAUGCUUAGAAGUUAGGCGGCUGGUGCGCAUGGUGCUGAGCUGGGGAGUGUUUCAUAUUCCAACGACUAUAUACUCUUUAGCUAAUCUAGCUAUAUUCUUGAAUAACAUCUAGUCUAAUUAUGUUGAGCUCAGACUCUUUAUUUCUAGCCCGCUGCUUCGUUUGAAUGUUAGAGUAUCAGAGUUGUGAAACUAAACCUAUUUAAAUCCUCGGGGAUUCUUCAUAUAUUGAACUCGUUUUAUGUCA
Molecule: long non-coding RNA, 796 nt
Organism: Salvia miltiorrhiza (redroot sage)
Lineage: Eukaryota; Viridiplantae; Streptophyta; Magnoliopsida; Lamiales; Lamiaceae
Exons: 5
Source: RefSeq, a predicted model, not a curated record